ACCAGACUGAAUGUUGGAAGUGAUACCCGCCCCACCCUGAAGGUGUUGGGUCCCUCCAGUGCAGAGCUGGAGAAUGGGAAGGCCACGCUCAUGUGUGUGGCCAACAAGGGCUUCCCCUCAGACUGGAGUCUGUCCUGGAAGGUGGAUGGCAGUGGCAGCAUCAGCUGGGAGGAGAGCAGGAGCCCUGUGGUGCAGGAGAACGACGGCCUCUACAGCUGGAGCAGCACCCUGAGGCUCCCUGCAGACCGCUGGAUGAAGGUGGGCUCUGUGACCUGUGAGGCCACCCAGAGCUCCCAGACUCUGGUCUCAGAGAUACUGAGGAGAGACCAGUGUUCCCAGUCCUGAUGUCAUUUACUGAGUCUUUGUUGCUGUUUUUCUUGUGGUACUGCUCU
Non-coding RNA from Pelmatolapia mariae (spotted tilapia), 392 nucleotides. The record is from the annotation of a RefSeq genome assembly. NCBI's taxonomy places the organism in Eukaryota, Metazoa, Chordata, Actinopteri, Cichliformes, Cichlidae.